GGCACCAUGGGUCAGCUGGCUAAAGCACCUGCCUUAUAAGCAGGAGAGCUUGGGUUCAACUCCCAGUGGUGCCU
Pelodiscus sinensis (Chinese soft-shelled turtle) is the source of this 74-nucleotide transfer RNA. It matches the Rfam family "tRNA". From Rfam's summary of the family: Transfer RNA (tRNA) molecules are approximately 80 nucleotides in length. Their secondary structure includes four short double-helical elements and three loops (D, anti-codon, and T loops). Further hydrogen bonds mediate the characteristic L-shaped molecular structure. tRNAs have two regions of fundamental functional importance: the anti-codon, which is responsible for specific mRNA codon recognition, and the 3' end, to which the tRNAs corresponding amino acid is attached (by aminoacyl-tRNA synthetases). tRNAs cope with the degeneracy of the genetic code in two manners: having more than one tRNA (with a specific anti-codon) for a particular amino acid; and 'wobble' base-pairing, i.e. permitting non-standard base-pairing at the 3rd anti-codon position. The record is from Rfam. Lineage: Eukaryota; Metazoa; Chordata; Testudines; Trionychidae.